This 807-nucleotide ribosomal RNA is filed under the name uncultured Bacteroidota bacterium. RNAcentral describes it as "bacterial SSU rRNA". It matches the Rfam family "Bacterial small subunit ribosomal RNA", at positions 67 to 865 of the family's 1533-position model. The record is from RNAcentral. Lineage: Bacteria; Pseudomonadati; Bacteroidota.
GGGAAACGGCAUUAAGUGCUUGCACUUUUUGGACGUCGACCGGCGCACGGGUGAGUAACGCGUAUCCAACCUUCCCAUGACUAAGGGAUAACCUGCCGAAAGGCAGACUAAUACCUUAUGGUCUUCACUGACGGCAUCAGAUGUGAAGUAAAGAUUUAUCGGUUAUGGAUGGGGAUGCGUCUGAUUAGCUUGUUGGCGGGGUAACGGCCCACCAAGGCAACGAUCAGUAGGGGUUCUGAGAGGAAGGUCCCCCACAUUGGAACUGAGACACGGUCCAAACUCCUACGGGAGGCAGCAGUGAGGAAUAUUGGUCAAUGGGCGAGAGCCUGAACCAGCCAAGUAGCGUGCAGGAAGACGGCCCUAUGGGUUGUAAACUGCUUUUGUAUGGGGAUAAAGUCAAUCACGUGUGAUUGUUUGCAGGUACCAUACGAAUAAGGACCGGCUAAUUCCGUGCCAGCAUCCGCGGUAAUACGGAAGGUCCGGGCGUUAUCCGGAUUUAUUGGGUUUAAAGGGAGCGUAGGCUGGAGAUUAAGUGUGUUGUGAAAUGUAGACGCUCAACGUCUGACUUGCAGCGCAUACUGGUUUCCUUGAGUACGCACAACGUUGGCGGAAUUCGUCGUGUAGCGGUGAAAUGCUUAGAUAUGACGAAGAACUCCGAUUGCGAAGGCAGCUGACGGGAGCGCAACUGACGCUGAAGCUCGAAGGUGCGGGUAUCGAACAGGAUUAGAUACCCUGGUAGUCCGCACAGUAAACGAUGGAUGCCCGCUGUUGGUACCUGGUAUCAGCGGCUAAGCGAAAGCAUUAAGC